Molecule: long non-coding RNA, 1167 nt
Filed under: Salvia miltiorrhiza (redroot sage)
Lineage: Eukaryota; Viridiplantae; Streptophyta; Magnoliopsida; Lamiales; Lamiaceae
Description: long non-coding RNA (SMIL_LNC007841)
Source: RNAcentral
UUUAGUUUACAGUGUUUAGGGUUUAGGGGUUAGUUUAUAGGAUUUAGGGUUUUAAAAAUAUAAUACUUUAUAUUAAAUGAAGAUAAAUACUUAUAUUUACAAAAGUAUAUAUUUGUGCGAAUAAAUGUAUAUGUUAUGCUAUUAAAAGUAGCAUUUACUAUAAGCAAAUGUAAUAAUUUAGGGCGACCGAUCAAAUAGGCUCGGAUCCGGAUCAGGGUUGAGGCGUGGGUCGACCCGGCCGCAUGGGAUGCGGGUGCCCUCACCCAAGUCCACCUCUUGAAUUAAAAGGUCCAACUGAAAUAAAGCCAAGGCCGAAACCUAAAUUCCUUUAAAAUUGGUCCACUAAUUAAUGGCCCAAAACUAAAUAAAUAAGAAGGCCCAAACAAAGAAUUAAAUGAAGCCCAACACUCCAGCCCAAACCUAACCCCCUAUCACUCCCUCUCUCUCCUUCCUCUCACUCACAGCUGCGCCUCCCCCUCCCCCCAUUUCGUAUCUCUCUCUCGCUCUCGCUAAGCCCCGUCGCGGUGGCUUUCCUUACCUCUCCUCCUCUUUCAAUUUCCGACGACCACCGCAGGAGCCCAUGGCCACCGCCCUCACUCUCCUCUCUUCCCGCCGGACGGACAACAACAGUUAGGCAGUCGUUGGCCGCCCCUUUGAUUCCCAGUGAGCAGCAGCGACUUCCGCCGCCGCCGUCGCCACCUUCUACUGCCCCGACUCACACAUUCACAGAACCCAACAACCAACAUACUCUCAUCCCAAUUCAAUUCAAACUUUUAAAUAAAAAUCUUAUUCUAUUUAUUCAAACAUGUAUGAACUUCAUAUGUAUUUGAGAAAUAACAUGAAUACAUACAUAUCUUGUAUUGAGUUGAUUUCAUUCGUGAUUCAGUAAGAUGAGACACAAGCAUGAUAUAAUUAAACUAAAACACGUUGGAGUUCAAAAUGAUAACCUUGGAUGAAAUGGGUGUUCGUUUGCUGAGGAGAAUGAUCUUGAUGUAUGAGUUGUAGUGAUUUAGCCCUUGAAUCUUGGUUCUGGCUCAUGGGAGUGAAACGUGAGAAUUUACUCAAGUAUUUGUGGAAUGAAAGAAUUGAGAUGAAAAUAUAGAUACAUAGAUAAGUGUGGUGGGAUGGAAGCAUGGUACAUGUUGGCUGAAAAGUAGGAAAAAGAUG